GAUAAACGCUGGCGGCGUGCCUAAUACAUGCAAGUCGAACGAGAAUAGAAAGAAACUUGUUUCAAUUUAUUCUAGUGGCGAACUGGUGAGUAAUACAUAAGCAACCUGCCUAUAUGGACUGGGAUAACGUUUGGAAACGAACGCUAAUACCGGAUAGGUAAUCGGAAAGGCAUCUUCUGAUUAUUAAAGGUUAGAAACACAAAUAGAUGGGCUUAUGGCGCAUUAGCUAGUUGGUGAGGUAACGGCUCACCAAGGCGAUGAUGCGUAGCCGACCUGAGAGGGUGAUCGGCCACAUUGGGACUGAGACACGGCCCAAACUCCUACGGGAGGCAGCAGUAGGGAAUUUUCGGCAAUGGGGGAAACCCUGACCGAGCAACGCCGCGUGAGUGAUGAAGGCCUCGGUUGUAAG
Molecule: ribosomal RNA, 409 nt
Filed under: uncultured bacterium
Lineage: Bacteria
Description: bacterial SSU rRNA
Rfam family: Bacterial small subunit ribosomal RNA
Source: RNAcentral